Molecule: ribosomal RNA, 548 nt
Filed under: uncultured bacterium
Lineage: Bacteria
Description: bacterial SSU rRNA
Rfam family: Bacterial small subunit ribosomal RNA
Source: RNAcentral
UAGGGAAUUCGGCAAUGGACGGAAGUCUGACCGAGCAACGCCGCGUGAGUGAAGAAGGUUUUCGGAUCGUAAAGCUCUGUUGUAAGAGAAGAACGAGUGUGAGAGUGGAAAGUUCACACUGUGACGGUAUCUUACCAGAAAGGGACGGCUAACUACGUGCCAGCAGCCGCGGUAAUACGUAGGUCCCGAGCGUUGUCCGGAUUUAUUGGGCGUAAAGCGAGCGCAGGCGGUUAGAUAAGUCUGAAGUUAAAGGCUGUGGCUUAACCAUAGUACGCUUUGGAAACUGUUUAACUUGAGUGCAAGAGGGGAGAGUGGAAUUCCAUGUGUAGCGGUGAAAUGCGUAGAUAUAUGGAGGAACACCGGUGGCGAAAGCGGCUCUCUGGCUUGUAACUGACGCUGAGGCUCGAAAGCGUGGGGAGCAAACAGGAUUAGAUACCCUGGUAGUCCACGCUGUAAACGAUGAGUGCUAGGUGUUAGACCCUUUCCGGGGUUUAGUGCCGUAGCUAACGCAUUAAGCACUCCGCCUGGGGAGUACGACCGCAAGGUUG